This 476-nucleotide ribosomal RNA is filed under the name uncultured bacterium. RNAcentral's name for it is "bacterial SSU rRNA". It matches the Rfam family "Bacterial small subunit ribosomal RNA", at positions 28 to 490 of the family's 1533-position model. The record is from RNAcentral.
GACGAACGCUGGCGGCGUGCUUAACACAUGCAAGUGGAGCGACGAACCAGGGCUUGCCCUGGGGCAGAGCCGCGAACGGGUGAGUAACACGUGGGUUACCUGCCCCGAUGAUUGGGACAACCCGAGGAAACUCGGGCUAAUACCAAAUGUGCUCCUGGCCAUAAUGGCCUUGAGGAAAGGAAGCUUCGGCCUCCGCAUCGGGAUGGGCCCGCGGCCCAUUAGCUAGUUGGUGGGGUAACGGCCACCAAGGCGACGAUGGGUAGCUGGUCUGAGAGGACGAUCAGCCACACUGGGACUGAGACACGGCCCAGACUCCUACGGGAGGCAGCAGUGGGGAAUCUUGCGCAAUGCGCGAAAGCGUGACGCAGCAACGCCGCGUGGGGGAAGAAGGCCUUUCGGGUUGUAAACCCCUUUCUACGUUGGGACGAAGCUUCGUCGGUGAAUAGCCGGCCGGAGUGACGGUACCUUCACAGAAG